This 583-nucleotide ribosomal RNA is filed under the name uncultured bacterium. RNAcentral's name for it is "bacterial SSU rRNA". It matches the Rfam family "Bacterial small subunit ribosomal RNA", at positions 38 to 670 of the family's 1533-position model. The record is from RNAcentral.
GGCGGCAGGCUUACACAUGCAAGUCGAGCGCCCCGCAAGGGGAGCGGCAGACGGGAGAGUAACACGUGGGAACGUACCCUUCGGUUCGGAACAACCCAGGGAAACUUGGGCUAAUACCGGAUACGUCCGUAAGGAGAAAGAUUCAUCGCCGAGGGAUCGGCCCGCGUCUGAUUAGCUUGUUGGUGAGGUAACGGCUCACCAAGGCGACGAUCAGUAGCUGGUCUGAGAGGAUGAUCAGCCUCACUGGGACUGAGACACGGCCCAGACUCCUACGGGAGGCAGCAGUGGGGAAUAUUGGACAAUGGGCGCAAGCCUGAUCCAGCCAUGCCGCGUGGGUGAUGAAGGCCCUAGGGUUGUAAAGCCCUUUCGGCGGGGAAGAUAAUGACGGUACCCGCAGAAGAAGCCCCGGCUAACUUCGUGCCAGCAGCCGCGGUAAUACGAAGGGGGCUAGCGUUGCUCGGAAUCACUGGGCGUAAAGCGCACGUAGGCGGCUUCUUAAGUCAGGGGUGAAAUCCUGGAGCUCAACUCCAGAACUGCCUUUGAUACUGGGAAGCUUGAGUCCGGGAGAGGUGAGUGGAACUGC